UUCCAUGCAGCGCGCGCCCAUGCAUUCAAAAAGGAGCCGUGUUCGAAUCCGGCUGUAGCGUUUUCCAAUUGCUUCAUUUCAUUUUCUCUUCCACAUGUUCAUACAAACUACAUGCAUUUUUUUUAUUUUUUUUCUCACUUCAUAAAUCCAUAACAAAUUAAAUAAUGCUCCAAAAAAUACCAGGAUUUUUGCAUUAGGUCAUAUUCUAUGUCUAGUUUUU
This 220-nucleotide long non-coding RNA is filed under the name Lathyrus oleraceus (garden pea). RNAcentral's name for it is "Pisum sativum (pea) long non-coding RNA (PSAT_LNC019938)". The record is from RNAcentral. Lineage: Eukaryota; Viridiplantae; Streptophyta; Magnoliopsida; Fabales; Fabaceae.